GCAUAGCUCAGUGGUAGAGCGGAUGGCUGUUAACCAUUAGGUCGCUGGUUCGAGCCCAGCUGC
This 63-nucleotide transfer RNA is filed under the name human oral metagenome. It matches the Rfam family "tRNA", at positions 5 to 66 of the family's 71-position model. From Rfam's summary of the family: Transfer RNA (tRNA) molecules are approximately 80 nucleotides in length. Their secondary structure includes four short double-helical elements and three loops (D, anti-codon, and T loops). Further hydrogen bonds mediate the characteristic L-shaped molecular structure. tRNAs have two regions of fundamental functional importance: the anti-codon, which is responsible for specific mRNA codon recognition, and the 3' end, to which the tRNAs corresponding amino acid is attached (by aminoacyl-tRNA synthetases). tRNAs cope with the degeneracy of the genetic code in two manners: having more than one tRNA (with a specific anti-codon) for a particular amino acid; and 'wobble' base-pairing, i.e. permitting non-standard base-pairing at the 3rd anti-codon position. The record is from RNAcentral.